This 116-nucleotide ribosomal RNA is filed under the name Diaphorina citri (Asian citrus psyllid). Lineage: Eukaryota; Metazoa; Arthropoda; Insecta; Hemiptera; Psyllidae. The record is from RNAcentral.
GCUAGCGGCGAUAGUACGUUGAAUGCACCAAAUUCCGAUGGAUCAACGUUAAGCAACGUUGCGCAAGGUUGGUAUCCAAAAUGGGUCACCAUCUGAGUAAUCGCAAGCUGCUGGCU